GCUAGUAAUCGCGGAUCAGCAUGCCGCGGUGAAUACGUUCCCGGGCCUUGUACACACCGCCCGUCACACCAUGGGAGUCGGUAACACCUGAAGCCAGUAGCCUAACCGCAAGGAGGGCGCUGUCGAAGGUGGGAUUGAUGACUGGGGUGAAGUCGUAACAAGGUACC
Molecule: ribosomal RNA, 167 nt
Filed under: uncultured bacterium
Lineage: Bacteria
Description: partial 16S ribosomal RNA
Rfam family: Bacterial small subunit ribosomal RNA
Source: RNAcentral